AUGAUGUGUCACUCAUAUG
This 19-nucleotide small nuclear RNA is filed under the name Arabidopsis thaliana (thale cress). RNAcentral's name for it is "snRNA_04800". The record is from RNAcentral. Lineage: Eukaryota; Viridiplantae; Streptophyta; Magnoliopsida; Brassicales; Brassicaceae.